Molecule: ribosomal RNA, 658 nt
Filed under: uncultured bacterium
Lineage: Bacteria
Description: bacterial SSU rRNA
Rfam family: Bacterial small subunit ribosomal RNA
Source: RNAcentral
AGGCGCUUUCGGGUGUCGCUGAUGGAUGGACCCGCGGUGCAUUAGCUAGUUGGUGAGGUAACGGCUCACCAAGGCGACGAUGCAUAGCCGACCUGAGAGGGUGAUCGGCCACAUUGGGACUGAGACACGGCCCAAACUCCUACGGGAGGCAGCAGUAGGGAAUCUUCGGCAAUGGACGAAAGUCUGACCGAGCAACGCCGCGUGAGUGAAGAAGGUUUUCGGAUCGUAAAACUCUGUUGUUAGAGAAGAACAAGGAUGAGAGUAACUGUUCAUCCCUUGACGGUAUCUAACCAGAAAGCCACGGCUAACUACGUGCCAGCAGCCGCGGUAAUACGUAGGUGGCAAGCGUUGUCCGGAUUUAUUGGGCGUAAAGUGAGCGCAGGCGGUUUCUUAAGUCUGAUGUGAAAGCCCCCGGCUCAACCGGGGAGGGUCAUUGGAAACUGGGAGACUUGAGUGCAGAAGAGGAGAGUGGAAUUCCAUGUGUAGCGGUGAAAUGCGUAGAUAUAUGGAGGAACACCAGUGGCGAAGGCGGCUCUCUGGUCUGUAACUGACGCUGAGGCUCGAAAGCGUGGGGAGCAAACAGGAUUAGAUACCCUGGUAGUCCACGCCGUAAACGAUGAGUGCUAAGUGUUGGAGGGUUUCCGCCCUUCAGUGCUGC